This 442-nucleotide ribosomal RNA is filed under the name Acrapex sp. ACZAG7117. Its description in RNAcentral is "partial 16S large subunit ribosomal RNA". Lineage: Eukaryota; Metazoa; Arthropoda; Insecta; Lepidoptera; Noctuidae. The record is from RNAcentral.
UUUAUAUUAAAGGGCUGCAGUAUAUUGACUGUACAAAGGUAGCAUAAUCAUUAGUCAUUUAAUUGGUGACUUGUAUGAAAGAUUGGAUGAAAUAUAAACUGUCUCUUAGUUAUUAAUAGAAUUUAAUUUUUUAAUUAAAAAGUUAAAAUAAUUUAAAAAGACGAGAAGACCCUAUAGAGUUUUAUAUAUAAUUUAAUUAAGAUUAUUUAAUAAUAUUAAAUUAAAAUUAAUUUAUAUAUUAUAUUGGGGUGAUAGAAAAAUAUAUUUAACUUUUUUUAUAUUUGUAAAAUAUGGACAUAUAUAAGUGAUUAAAUGAUCCAAUACUAUUGAUUAUAAGAAAAAAUUACCUUAGGGAUAACAGCGUAAUUUUUUUUUUUAGUUCACAUAAAAAAAAGAGUUUGCGACCUCGAUGUUGGAUUAAGAUAAAAUUUAAAUGUAGAAG